This 492-nucleotide ribosomal RNA is filed under the name uncultured bacterium. RNAcentral's name for it is "partial 16S ribosomal RNA". It matches the Rfam family "Bacterial small subunit ribosomal RNA", at positions 28 to 507 of the family's 1533-position model. The record is from RNAcentral.
GAUGAACGCUGGCGGCGUGCCUAACACAUGCAAGUCGAACGGCAAGACAGUGAGCUUGUGCCUUUACCGUUAGCGGGUGGCGGACGUGUGACGCAUGCAUCACCUUCUUCUUUUUCGGGGAUCAUUACGUAAAACAGGUUACGAUAAUACCGCAUAUAUUCUACCGCAGAAAGCAGUGGAUCUUCACGCCUUUCGCGUCUGAAUUAGCUGAUGCCGGGCUGGCUAGUUGGGUUGGUAAAGGCCCACCAAGGCAAGGAUCCGUAGCCUGUCUGAGAGGAUGAUCGGCCACACUGGAACUGAGACACGGUCCAGACUCCUACGGGAGGCAGCAGUAGGGAAUCUUGGGCAAUGGGCGCAAGCCUGACGCAGCAACACCGCGUGGGUGAUGAAGGCCUUCGGGUCGUAAAGCCCUGUUAUUGGGGAAGAAAAGCUGUGGAAUUAAACCCGGCUGUUCUGACGGUACCCAAUGAAAAAGCACCGGCUAACUACGUG